This 651-nucleotide ribosomal RNA is filed under the name Klebsiella quasipneumoniae subsp. quasipneumoniae. RNAcentral's name for it is "partial 23S ribosomal RNA". It matches the Rfam family "Bacterial large subunit ribosomal RNA", at positions 2173 to 2823 of the family's 2925-position model. Lineage: Bacteria; Pseudomonadati; Pseudomonadota; Gammaproteobacteria; Enterobacterales; Enterobacteriaceae. The record is from RNAcentral.
AGUCUGCGUGGAGCCAACCUUGAAAUACCACCCUUUAAUGUUUGAUGUUCUAACGUUGGCCCCUUAUCGGGGUUGCGGACAGUGUCUGGUGGGUAGUUUGACUGGGGCGGUCUCCUCCCAAAGCGUAACGGAGGAGCACGAAGGUUAGCUAAUCCUGGUCGGACAUCAGGAGGUUAGUGCAAUGGCAUAAGCUAGCUUGACUGCGAGCGUGACGGCGCGAGCAGGUGCGAAAGCAGGUCAUAGUGAUCCGGUGGUUCUGAAUGGAAGGGCCAUCGCUCAACGGAUAAAAGGUACUCCGGGGAUAACAGGCUGAUACCGCCCAAGAGUUCAUAUCGACGGCGGUGUUUGGCACCUCGAUGUCGGCUCAUCACAUCCUGGGGCUGAAGUAGGUCCCAAGGGUAUGGCUGUUCGCCAUUUAAAGUGGUACGCGAGCUGGGUUUAGAACGUCGUGAGACAGUUCGGUCCCUAUCUGCCGUGGGCGCUGGAGAAUUGAGGGGGGCUGCUCCUAGUACGAGAGGACCGGAGUGGACGCAUCACUGGUGUUCGGGUUGUCAUGCCAAUGGCACUGCCCGGUAGCUAAAUGCGGAAGAGAUAAGUGCUGAAAGCAUCUAAGCACGAAACUUGCCCCGAGAUGAGUUCUCCCUGAGACUU